RNAcentral lists this ribosomal RNA (593 nucleotides) under Naganishia albidosimilis. RNAcentral's name for it is "partial large subunit ribosomal RNA". It matches the Rfam family "Eukaryotic large subunit ribosomal RNA", at positions 71 to 670 of the family's 3401-position model. The record is from RNAcentral. Lineage: Eukaryota; Fungi; Basidiomycota; Tremellomycetes; Filobasidiales; Filobasidiaceae.
GGGAUUCCUAGUAACGGCGAGUGAAGCGGGAAGAGCUCAAAUUUGAAAUCUGGUAGCCUUCGGUUGCCCGAGUUGUAAUCUAGAGAAAUGUUUUCCGUGCCGGCCCAUGUACAAGUCCCUUGGAACAGGGCGUCAUAGAGGGUGAGAAUCCCGUCCUUGACAUGGACCCCCGGUGCUUUGUGAUACAUUUUCAACGAGUCGAGUUGUUUGGGAAUGCAGCUCAAAAUGGGUGGUGAAUUCCAUCUAAAGCUAAAUAUUGGCGAGAGACCGAUAGCGAACAAGUACCGUGAGGGAAAGAUGAAAAGCACUUUGGAAAGAGAGUUAAACAGUACGUGAAAUUGUUGAAAGGGAAACGAUUGAAGUCAGUCAUGCUCUUUGGUAUUUAUAUCAUUGAGUGGGGUCAACAUCAGUUUUGAUCGAUGGAUAAAGGCACUAGGAAGGUAGCACUCUCGGGUGAACUUAUAGCCUAGCGUCAUAUACAUUGAUUGGGACUGAGGAACGCAGCAUGCCUUUAUGGCCGGGAUUCGUCCACGUACAUGCUUAGGAUGUUGACAUAAUGGCUUUAAACGACCCGUCUUGAACCACGGACCAAC